CCCACACGUAAUACUUUAAGCAUCCCUUUUGAAUGUAAAAUCAGUAGCCUGAAUCAGUCUGGUCAGGCAUGUAUUAUUUAAAAGCAUUAAGGAUAUUGCUGGGUAAAGUAAAUGCUCUUUUUUUUUCUGUUAUCAAAGCAAUUGUAUAUAUUUUCUGAACCUGCUUAUAUUUAACAGUCCUAGUUUUUGUGCCUUAAAUAUGACAUUCAGAAACCACUGGAGAGGUGAAAGUCAACUAUAAAAAAAUUUUUUUUCAGUUUUUCUCUAGAAUGUUAACCAGGGUUGGAUUUUCUCUCUUCCCCAACCCUUGACUGACCAUAUGAAAAACCCCUCCCCACCCACAUCCAUGUCUCUAGCUCAAGGUGGACAGGUAGGUGAUACUUGGGGUAUCAUAAAACGUGACCUUUCUUCGCUUUGUGAAGGCUCUCCACACUGUCUUCAGUGUUCUGGAUCAGUCCUAAAUUAUCUGGGGGCCCCUGGGGCAUUUACUUUCCUGGAACGUUUUCUUCUGCCUGACUUAAGGCAGGGCACGACGCACUGCUAGCUGGCGUCCUGUUGGCUCCCACCAAGAACCUCUAUCUAAUGAAUCAGUUUGUCCUUCACCCCUUUUUCUUGCA
This 617-nucleotide long non-coding RNA is filed under the name Bos taurus (domestic cattle). RNAcentral's name for it is "long non-coding RNA NONBTAT016505". The record is from RNAcentral. Lineage: Eukaryota; Metazoa; Chordata; Mammalia; Artiodactyla; Bovidae.